GCGGGAAUAGCUCAGUUGGUAGAGCACGACCUUGCCAAGGUCGGGGUCGCGAGUUCGAGCCUCGUUUCUCGCUCCA
RNAcentral lists this transfer RNA (76 nucleotides) under Aggregatibacter actinomycetemcomitans. Its description in RNAcentral is "tRNA-Gly". It matches the Rfam family "tRNA". From Rfam's summary of the family: Transfer RNA (tRNA) molecules are approximately 80 nucleotides in length. Their secondary structure includes four short double-helical elements and three loops (D, anti-codon, and T loops). RNAcentral also lists the same sequence under 3 other names. Lineage: Bacteria; Pseudomonadati; Pseudomonadota; Gammaproteobacteria; Pasteurellales; Pasteurellaceae. The record is from RNAcentral.